Molecule: unclassified non-coding RNA, 277 nt
Filed under: air metagenome
Description: partial contains small subunit ribosomal RNA, internal transcribed spacer 1, and 5.8S ribosomal RNA
Rfam family: Eukaryotic small subunit ribosomal RNA (bases 1-46)
Source: RNAcentral
AAGUCGUAACAAGGUUUCCGUAGGUGAACCUGCGGAAGGAUCAUUAAUGAAAUUUAUGACUGGGGUUGUCGCUGGCCUUUAAAAACGGCAUGUGCACGCCCCUUUCACUAAUCCACACACACCUGUGCACCUUCGCGGGGGCUCUUGGGAACCGACGCAAGUCGUAAGUACCGGAGCUCGCGUCCCUUUACACACCCCUUUGUAUGUCUUAAGAAUGUCUACUCGAUGUAAUAAAACGCAUCUAAUACAACUUUCAACAACGGAUCUCUUGGCUCUC